This is a non-coding RNA of Caenorhabditis elegans, 21 nucleotides long. The record is from Ensembl. NCBI's taxonomy places the organism in Eukaryota, Metazoa, Nematoda, Chromadorea, Rhabditida, Rhabditidae.
UCUACGAGUUAUGAAAGUUCU